AGGAAUAUUGGGCAAUGGAGGCAACUCUGACCCAGCCAUGCCGCGUGAGUGAAGAAGGUUUUCGGAUUGUAAAGCUCUUUCGGGUGUGACGAUGAUGACGGUAGCACCUAAAGAAGCCCCGGCUAACUUCGUGCCAGCAGCCGCGGUAAUACGAAGGGGGCAAGCGUUGUUCGGAAUUACUGGGCGUAAAGGGAGUGUAGGCGGUUAUGUAAGAUAGUGGUGAAAUCCCAGAGCUUAACUUUGGAAUUGCCAUUAUGACUAUGUGGCUAGAAUUACAGAGAGGAUAGUGGAAUACCCAGUGUAGAGGUGAAAUUCGUAGAUAUUGGGUAGAACACCAGUGGCGAAGGCGACUAUCUGGCUGUAUAUUGACGCUGAGGCUCGAAAGCAUGGGGAUCAAACAGGAUUAGAUACCCUGGUAGUCCAUGCUGUAAACGAUGAGUGCUUGUUGUCGGUGUAAAAUCGGUGACGAAGUUAACGCGUUAAGCACUCCGCCUGGGGAGUACGGUCGCAAGAUUAAAACUCAAAGGAAUUGACGGGGACCCGCACAAGCGGUGGAGCAUGUGGUUUAAUUCGAUGCAACGCGAAGAACCUUACCAACUCUUGACAUCCUUAUCGGGGAGAUCAGAGAUGAUUUCUUUCAGUUAGGCUGGAUAAGUGACAGAUGCUGCAUGGCUGUCGUCAGCUCGUGUCGUGAGAUGUUGGGUUAAGUCCCGCAACGAGCGCAACCCCUGCUAUCAGUUGCCAUCAGGUAGAGCUGGGCACUCUGAUAGGACUGCCGGUGAUAAGCCGGAGGAAGGUGGGGAUGACGUCAAGUCAUCAUGGCUCUUACGAGUUGGGCUACACACGUGCUACAAUGGCAACUACAGAGGGGAGCGAGACCGCGAGGUCGAGCCAAUCUUAAAAAGUUGUCUCAGUUCAGAUUGUACUCUGCAACUCGAGUACAUGAAGUUGGAAUCGCUAGUAAUCGCGGAUCAGCAUGCCGCGGUGAAUACGUUCCCG
This 999-nucleotide ribosomal RNA is filed under the name uncultured bacterium. RNAcentral's name for it is "bacterial SSU rRNA". It matches the Rfam family "Bacterial small subunit ribosomal RNA", at positions 357 to 1376 of the family's 1533-position model. The record is from RNAcentral.